This 258-nucleotide long non-coding RNA is filed under the name Elaeis guineensis (African oil palm). RNAcentral describes it as "long non-coding RNA (EGUI_LNC047433)". The record is from RNAcentral. Lineage: Eukaryota; Viridiplantae; Streptophyta; Magnoliopsida; Arecales; Arecaceae.
CCUACACUCCUGGGGUCAAUCUAGGUCAGUUCCGAAACUUCCUAACAUUUUCCCAUCCUUUUUCUUUGUAUUAUGUUCAUUUAGCUUUCUCAGGGAUCUAUUUGCUAUUUUUCCCAAUUUUUUGAGAUUUUUGUGGCUUCCAUUUGAUCCGAAAUGUCCUCUGAUAUCUCCUCUUCUAGUAGUUCUAGCAGUUCGUCAGCCCCAGUUCUCCAUAGUACUGGUACCGUAGAUGAACCCGUAACUAGGACCGAACCCUGU